GUCUGUGGUUCAGAUCCUGGCCCUUAUACAUUUCUAGAUGUAGAAGUUCAAGCUCAGUAUCACUGAGUCAAAUUCAAGGUGUUGGCAGGACUGAGUUCCCUCCAGAGUCUCCAGAGGAGAAGCUGUUUCCAGCAUUUUCCAGUUUCUGGUGGCUGCUAGCAUUCCUUGGUUUGUGGCUUCAUCACCCCAAUAUUCAAGGAAACAAGAGGAUUCAUCUGACUUAACUGGAGAUGGCUCCCUUUCCUAAUUUUUGUUCCAUUCCUGAAGCUUCCGCCCUGCAGGGCUCAGCGUGAGCAGACAGGAACAUGCGAAGAGGCAAUUGCCCGAGAGAGUACAUCAUGUGAAACACUAUGCUGGAUGAAGCACAAGCUGGAAUCAAGAUUGCUGGGAAAAAUAUCGAAAACCUCAGAUAUGCAGAUGACACCAUCCUUAUGGCAGAAAGUGAAGACGAACUAAAGAGCCUCUUGAUGAACAUUAAAGAGGAGAGUGAAAAAGUUGGCUUAAAGCCCAACAUUCAGAAAACUAAGAUCAUGGCAUCCGGUCCCAUCACUUCAUGGCAAAAAAUGGGGAAAUAGUGGCUGACUUUAUUUUGGGGGGCUCCAAAAUCACUGCAGAUGGUGAUUGCAGCCAUGAAAUUAAAAGACACUUACUCCAUGGAAGAAAAGUUAUGACCAACCUAGACAGCAUAUUAAAAAGCUGAGACAUUACUAUGUCAACAAAGGUCCAUCUAGUCAAGGCUAUGGUUUUUCCAGUAGCCAUGUAUGGAUGUGAGAGUUGGACUAUAAAGAAAGCUGAGUGCAGGAGAAUUGAUACUUUUGAACUGUGGUGUUGGAGAAGACUCUUGAGAGUCCCUUGGACUGCAAGGAGAUCCAACCAGUCCAUCCUAAAGGAGAUCAGUCCUGGGUGUUCAUUGGAAGGACUGAUGUUGAAGCUGAAACUCCAAUACUUUGGCCACCUCAUGUGAAGAGCUGACUCAUUUGAAAAGACCCUGAUGCUGGGAAAGAUUGAAGGCAGGAGGAGAAGGGCAUGACAGAGGAUGAGAUGGUUGGAUGGCAUCACCGACUCAAUGGACAUGAGUUUGGGUAAACUCCGGGAGUUGGUGAUGGACAGGGAGGCCUGGCGUGCUGUGGUUCAUGGAGUCGCAAAGAGUCGGACACGACUGAGCGACUGAACUGACUGACUGAUACAGUAUAAUGAUUCGAUAUUUGUACAUAUUACAAAAUGAUCACAAUGUCUAGUUAAAGCCAUCAACAUACAUAGCUACAAAAAUUUUUUUUUCCCUUGUGAUGAACACUUUUUUUUUGGCCACGCUACAGACUACACGCCAUGUGGGAUCUUCCAGGACCACACCACACAGCAUGCAGGAUCCACCAGGGAGCAAACCUGUGUCCCCUGCACUGGAAGUGCAAAGUCCUAACCACUGGGCUGCCAAGGAGUUCCCAUGAUGAAAACUUUUAAGAUCUACUCCCUUAGCAACUUUCAAAUAUGCAAUAAAGUAUUAUUAACUAUAGUUACAACACUAUACAUUAUAUAUCCGUGACUUACUUCUUUUAUAACUGGAAGUUUGUACCUUUUGACCUCUGUCACUCAUUUUGUACCCCCUCACCACCACCCAUCUGUUCUCUGUAUCUAUGAGCUCAAGUUUAAAACUGCAUUUUUAUUUAAAUGUAUAACAGAGCAGAAGAUUUUGUCACCCUCUCUGAGACAUAUAUUUGGAAUGUCUGGCCACUGAGAACCUUCUCAUCCUCUACAGGCUUCACCAGAAACAAAGAACAGAGGAGGAAAUACACAGCUUCUUGAGUACUAGCAGUGAAAGGCCAGAGUUCUGACCGUAAACGUUAUAUUCUGUUUAAUCCCAGGUUUAGCAGAGGUAGUUGCUAGACAUUUAAAAUGGAUGAUUAUAUUUUACAAAGGGAGAAUAGAAUAAAAAAUUGGAAAAGAAUAGAGCCAAGAAUUCCAGACGAUGUGUUAGGUGCCCAGGACACCGCCGCAAACUCACAGAGGGUCUGUGGUGUAGGUUAAAUGUCAAGGGUGAUGCUUGACAUCUGUUGGCCACCAGGUGAACUACUUGGUCAAGGUUGUUCAGGGUUUCAACGUUAGAUUGUGCUGCACUCCUUUCAAAGAUAUCUUUGGGUUUUCAGCAGCUGUUAUAAAAUGAGAGUAGUAAGUAAAAAUCAGUGUGAACAUGAGGUGAAUAAGUGGUGGUGUCUAAACAGCUUCUAAGGUUUGAGAAGAUGUUCAAUGCUCAGUUGUCAUACCUAUCCUUUUAUAAAUAACUGUGGUUAAGAAUAAAACUUAAAAAAUUUUUUUUCAAUUUAUGGGUAUUAUUUUUUUCCAGCAGCUAAGUUGUUGGGAUCUUCCUAUUGGAUAAAUGAGAUUUUAUGGUGUUUUUUUUGGCCCAGGAUCUCUGUGAAAAAAUUACUGAGACACUAAGAUGCCAUGAAUUGGGAAAGUUUGGAAACCUCAGGAUUAGAGCAAUACAAAUUGUCUCAAUGGGCAAAGAUGGAUUUUAAUGACUUAGGCUCAAUGGUGAGUAUAGAAAAGUGAUUCUAUUUUUUUUCCCCUAGACUAUCCAGGGAACUGCUCACAGUAGUUCCCCUGUGGAAACAGGAACAGUCUUAGUCUGAAGGUUUUUUUAAUUAAUGGAACUGUUUGGUAGAUUAUUAAAAGUUGUCUUGUACAAUGAUUCUCAAACUAUCUUUCAAUCUGUCAUAGACUAUGUGAUAACUUGUGGUAACUUGGCUGGUCCAGGGAGCCCAGAUAUUUGGUCAAACAUUAUUCUAGACGUUUCAGUGAAGGUAAUUUUUUAGGUGAGAUUGACAACUAAAUUAGUAGUUGAGUAAAGCAGAAUGCCUCUAUAAUAUGGGUGGGCCUUAUCCAAUCAGUAGAAAGUCUUAACAGAAGAAAGACUGAACUCCCCUGAGCAAGAAGGAAUUCUGUAUAUAUAAACACUCACACACACACACACAUUCUGUUGGUUCUGUUUCUCUGGAGAACUCUAAUACAGAUUAAUACUUUUAAAAAAUGCAAUAAAAGUAAACUUCUAGGAAAUCAAUCAUAUGCUUUAAUUUUAUAAAAAUGUUAAGUUGUUAUACAACCUUCUAAAUGCUUAACUUCAAUUUCCAUGUUUAGUUUGUCUGAUUAAUAAGUCUAUUUCAUAAAUAACUUCAUUUGUAUCAUUUUUAGAUACCACAUAUAGUGAUAUCAUGUGAUAUUUGUCUUUCUUUGUCUGACUUACUUCACUUAGUAUGAUAAUCUCUAGGUCCAUCUAUGUUCUGAAGAUGACAUUAUUUUGAUCUUUUUUACAGCUUAGUAUUAUUCCACUGUACAUAAAUAUACAUCUUCUUUAUCCAUUCAUCUGUAGAUGAACAUUUAGAUUGCUUCCAUGUCUUGGCUAUUGUAAACAGUACUGCAAUAAACAUUAAGGUGCUUGUAUCUUUUUGAAUUAUAAUCUUCUCCAGAUAU
Dama dama (fallow deer) is the source of this 3465-nucleotide long non-coding RNA. RefSeq lists it as uncharacterized. The record is from RefSeq and is a predicted model, not a curated record. NCBI's taxonomy places the organism in Eukaryota, Metazoa, Chordata, Mammalia, Artiodactyla, Cervidae. The transcript is spliced from 4 exons.